This 422-nucleotide ribosomal RNA is filed under the name uncultured bacterium. Its description in RNAcentral is "bacterial SSU rRNA". It matches the Rfam family "Bacterial small subunit ribosomal RNA", at positions 355 to 774 of the family's 1533-position model. The record is from RNAcentral.
UGGGGAAUAUUGGUCAAUGGAGGGAACUCUGAACCAGCCAUGCCGCGUGCAGGAAGACGGCCCUCUGGGUUGUAAACUGCUUUUAUUCGGGAAUAAACCUAUUUACGUGUAAAUAGCUGAAUGUACCGAAGGAAUAAGGAUCGGCUAACUCCGUGCCAGCAGCCGCGGUAAUACGGAGGAUCCAAGCGUUAUCCGGAUUUAUUGGGUUUAAAGGGUGCGUAGGCGGCUUAUUAAGUCAGGGGUGAAAGACGGUGGCUCAACCAUCGCAGUGCCCUUGAUACUGAUGAGCUUGAAUACACUAGAGGUAGGCGGAAUGUGACAAGUAGCGGUGAAAUGCAUAGAUAUGUCACAGAACACCGAUUGCGAAGGCAGCUUACUAUGGUGUGAUUGACGCUGAGGCACGAAAGCGUGGGGAUCAAACA